This is a long non-coding RNA of Chlorocebus sabaeus (green monkey), 1228 nucleotides long. RefSeq lists it as uncharacterized. The record is from RefSeq and is a predicted model, not a curated record. NCBI's taxonomy places the organism in Eukaryota, Metazoa, Chordata, Mammalia, Primates, Cercopithecidae.
UUCAUUCAUACACAGUUAUAUAUAGUUAUCAGAACCUAUGGUCAGUAAACAUUUCUAAAUGCUCAUCAGUGUUCCAAACAUAUCAGGGGAACCAGUCCUCAAUAUUUCAAGGUAUGUUCUUUCUAUUUUCCCUAAGUGUUGGCCGGUCUGAGAAAUAAAGAGAAAGAGUACAAAGAGAGGAAUUUUACAGCUGAGCCUCCGGGGGUGUCAUCACAUAUUGGUAGGACCGUGAUGGUGACCUCAAGCUGCAAAACCACUUUCCCCAGGAAAAGAUGGACCAGCAUGGAGAUUUUAAGCCUGGGCAAUUUAUAUUCCCUUCACUUCGUGUUUGGCAAGAAGUAGAACAUAAAGAAGGAGCUAAAAUUGUGGACAAAAAAUAGUAGAUAAGCAGAGGCUCAGAAGUCCAGGACCAAGGUUCCAGCUGUCUGGCUACAUCUACAUAUGGAGGAAGGCAGAAGGUCAAGCUCCCUGCAUAGUGCGUAAAGCCUUUUUUAUAAGGCCCUUAAGCCCACUCACGAGGAAGGAACCUUCAUGACCUCAUCACUUCUCUCUCUCUUUUUCAAAUUUCAUCUUUUAUUUUCGAUACAGGGGGUCCAUGUGCAGGUUUGUUACAAAGGUAUAUCGCACCCAAGUAGUGAGUAUAGUACUUAAUGGGUAGUUUUUCAUCCCAUGCCCCCAUCCCUCCCUCCCUCCUCUAGUAGUCCACAGUGUCUGUUGCUCCCAAGUUUAUGUCCACGUUAUGUACUCAAUGUGUAGCCCACACUUAUGUGAGAACAUAUGAUUUUCUGUUCCUAUGUUAUCUCACUUAGGAUUAUGGUCUCCAGCUUCAUCCAUGUUGCUGCAAAGGACAUUGUUUCGUUCCUUUUUAUGGCUGCACAGUAUACCAUAGUAUAUAUGUACCAUAUUUUCUUGAUCCAGUCCACCAUUGUUGGGCACCUCGGUUGAUUCUAUGUCUUUGCCAUUGUGAAUGAUGUGGUGAUAAACAUGAAUGAUGUGUCUUUCUGGUAUAAUGAUCUAUUUCCCUUUGAGUAUAUACCCAGUAAUGGGAUUGCUGCGUCGAAUGGUAACUCUGUUUUAAGUUUUUUGAGAAAUCUACAAACUGCUUUCCAAAGUGGCUGAACUAAUUUUCAUUCCCAUCAACAGCAUAUAAAUGUUCGCUUUUCUCCACAGCCUCGCCAACAUCUGGAAUAACUGGCUAGCUAUAUGUAGAAUGAAACUAGAUCCUUAC